This 139-nucleotide small nucleolar RNA is filed under the name Drosophila persimilis. Its description in RNAcentral is "snoRNA:GL27974". RNAcentral also lists the same sequence under 1 other name. The record is from RNAcentral. Lineage: Eukaryota; Metazoa; Arthropoda; Insecta; Diptera; Drosophilidae.
UGGCAAUCAGAAACCAGCUUUUUAGACCAUUUUCCAUGUCCAUAUCAGUUUGGAAAUGAUUGCAAAAUUAAAUGUGAUUUUGUGCUACGUGUGCGGCUAUUAAUGUGAGCUGCACUCAUUUGCACAAUACUUCGACAGU